RNAcentral lists this transfer RNA (67 nucleotides) under Tuarega ouarzazatensis. Its description in RNAcentral is "tRNA-Gly". Lineage: Eukaryota; Metazoa; Arthropoda; Insecta; Orthoptera; Pamphagidae. The record is from RNAcentral.
GUUUUUCUAGUAUAAACAGUAUAACUGACUUCCAAUCAGUAGGAUUGAUCUUAAAUCAAGAAAAACA